Molecule: ribosomal RNA, 376 nt
Filed under: uncultured bacterium
Lineage: Bacteria
Description: bacterial SSU rRNA
Rfam family: Bacterial small subunit ribosomal RNA
Source: RNAcentral
AACGUAGGAGGCGAGCGUUAUCCGGAUUUACUGGGCGUAAAGCGUGUGCAGGCGGUUUGGUGAGUUGGAUGUGAAAGCUCCUGGCUUAACUGGGAGAGGUCGUUCAAUACUGCCAGACUUGAGGAUGGGAGAGGAAGGUGGAAUUCCGAGUGUAGUGGUGAAAUGCGUAGAUAUUCGGAGGAACACCAGUGGCGAAAGCGGCCUUCUGGCCCAUCUCUGACGCUCAUACACGAAAGCUAGGGUAGCAAACGGGAUUAGAGACCCCGGUAGUCCUAGCUGUAAACGAUGUGGACUUGGCGUCGGCGGGUUUAAAUCCGUCGGUGCCGGAGCUAACGCGUUAAGUCCACCGCCUGGGGACUACGGCCGCAAGGUUAAA